UACGUAGGGGGCAAGCGUUGUCCGGAAUCAUUGGGCGUAAAGAGCGUGUAGGCGGCCUGAUAAGUCGGCUGUGAAAGUCAAGGGCUCAACCCUUGAAUGCCGGCCGAUACUGUCAGGCUAGAGUCCGGAAGGGGCGAGUGGAAUUCCUGGUGUAGCGGUGAAAUGCGCAGAUAUCAGGAGGAACACCUAUGGCGAAGGCAGCUCGCUGGGACGGUACUGACGCUGAGACGCGAAAGCGUGGGGAGCGAACAGG
RNAcentral lists this ribosomal RNA (253 nucleotides) under uncultured bacterium. Its description in RNAcentral is "partial 16S ribosomal RNA". It matches the Rfam family "Bacterial small subunit ribosomal RNA", at positions 524 to 776 of the family's 1533-position model. The record is from RNAcentral.